AGUAAUGUAUGGGGAUCUGCCUGAUGGCGGGGGAUAACUACUGGAAACGGUAGCUAAUACCGCAUAAUGUCUGCGGACCAAGGCGGGGGACCUCCGGGCCUCGCGCCAUCAGAUGAACCCAUAUGGGAUUAGCUUGUAGGUAAGGUAACGGCUUACCUAGGCGACGAUCCCUAGCUGGUCUGAGAGGAUGAUCAGCCACACUGGGACUGAGACACGGCCCAG
This 222-nucleotide ribosomal RNA is filed under the name uncultured bacterium. RNAcentral describes it as "partial 16S ribosomal RNA". It matches the Rfam family "Bacterial small subunit ribosomal RNA", at positions 109 to 334 of the family's 1533-position model. The record is from RNAcentral.